UACGUAGGGGGCUAGCGUUGUCCGGAUUUAUUGGGCGUAAAGAGCGUGUAGGCGGCCAGGUAGGUCCGGUGUGAAAACUCGAGGCUUAACCUCGAGAUGUCAUCGGAAACCAUCUGGCUAGAGUCCGGAAGAGGAAAGUGGAAUUCCCGGUGUAGCGGUGAAAUGCGCAGAUAUCGGGAGGAACACCUAUGGCGAAGGCAGCUCGCUGGGACGUUACUGACGCUGAGACGCGAAAGCGUGGGGAGCAAACAGG
RNAcentral lists this ribosomal RNA (253 nucleotides) under uncultured bacterium. Its description in RNAcentral is "partial 16S ribosomal RNA". It matches the Rfam family "Bacterial small subunit ribosomal RNA", at positions 524 to 776 of the family's 1533-position model. The record is from RNAcentral.